CGUGUAGGCGGUUUAGUAAGUCAGACGUGAAAGCCCUCGGCUUAACCGAGGAAGUGCAUCUGAUACUGCUUUACUUGAGUGUCGGAGGGGAUGGCGGAAUUCCCGGUGUAGAGGUGAAAUUCGUAGAUAUCGGGAGGAACACCUGUGGCGAAGGCGGCCAUCUGGAAGACAACUGACGCUGAGACGCGAAAGCGUGGGGAGCAAACAGGAUUAGAUACCCUGGUAGUCCACGCUGUAAACGAUGAGUGCUAGAUGUUGCGGGUAUUGACCCCUGCAGUGUCAAAGCUAACGCGUUAAGCACUCCGCCUGGGGAGUACGGUCGCAAGAUUAAA
Molecule: ribosomal RNA, 332 nt
Filed under: uncultured Pseudomonadota bacterium
Lineage: Bacteria; Pseudomonadati; Pseudomonadota
Description: bacterial SSU rRNA
Rfam family: Bacterial small subunit ribosomal RNA
Source: RNAcentral